RNAcentral lists this unclassified non-coding RNA (1805 nucleotides) under Hevea brasiliensis (rubber tree). Lineage: Eukaryota; Viridiplantae; Streptophyta; Magnoliopsida; Malpighiales; Euphorbiaceae. The record is from RNAcentral.
GUCAGAUUACAUCUGGAGGACAAAAGCAAGAAGUAAGCAGUGCUGCAUUGGCAGCGAAAUAGAUUUGAGCAGCCUUUUGACCGGAAAAUCAAGACAUCCACCACCACUACCACCGCUGUGCCGCUGCCACCUGCACCAUCAAAAGUUUAUUACACUUUAAAAUAAAUUCAUGGCAGAUCCUCACUUACAAAUAGACCAACAGCCUCGCCCUCCUGUCCAUACCCCUCUUCUUCCUCCAACUCAUAACAACACCAACAACCACCACGACGGCCGCCGCCAAGAUCAAGAAACCGAUCUCGAUCAGGCUCUUGAAGGGUUAGAGACAUUUCUUACCCUUCUGGGUUUCAACCAGUCUUCUGUUCUGAGCUUUCUUCUUUCUUGGACAGUGUUUAUAUUGAUAGGUGUGUCGCUUCCUGUUAUGAUACUGGAGUUGUCUAAAUGUGGUGGCUGCGAAAAGUACCAGAUUAAGGAUUUUGAACUCGAUAUCGUUGCAUCUCAAGCGUGUUUAGCGGCUGUUUCUUUGGCUUGCCUUUCUCAUAGUCUACGCAAGUAUGGCAUAAGAAAGUUUCUGUUCCUUGACCGCCGUAGCGGCCCUAUUAUGGCUCGCUUUGGCCACAAAUAUGUUCAACAGAUGAAGGACUCUUUACGUUUGCUGAUCCUCUGGUCGCUGCCAUGUUUCAUUCUGAAAGUUGUGCGAGAGGUCAUUCGUGUAUUAUACGUGCAGCAUGAAUCAUGGUGGUUGUCUGCCGCUAUUUUGUUUGGUUUGAUUCUAUCUUGGGGUUAUGUCAGUACAAUAUCUUUAUCAGCCAGCAUUCUAUUUCAUCUAGUUUGCAAUUUACAAGUUAUUCACUUUGAUGACUAUGCUAAGCUCUUGGAAAGAGAAUCUGAUGUUUUGGUAUUUAUAGAGGAGCACAUUCAUCUCCGUUAUCACCUCUCUAAGAUAAGCCAUAGAUUCCGAAUUUUUCUUCUUCUGCAGUUCUGUGUUGUUACAGCUAGCCAAAUCGUGACGCUUUUCCAGACCACAGGAUAUAGUGGAAUAAUUACUGUUAUAAAUGGGGGUGACUUUGCAGUAUCUUCAAUUGUUCAAGUAGUUGGAAUAAGUAUUUGUUUGCAUGCUGCCACGAAAAUAUCCCACAGAGCCCAAGGUAUUGCAUCUAUAGUGAGUAGAUGGCAUGCAUUGGCAACGUGCAUUUCAAGUGAUGCAUCUCAUCAAAUGAGAGUUUCGAAUAGUGCGGGGAACUUGGAAGCUGCAAAUCAACUAAACUCACUACAUUUAAGCUAUUCUGAAAGUGAUUUGGAGUCGGUGGAUUAUAUUGCAAUGCCUACAAAUACACAGUUGGCAUCCAACAUGUCAUCAUAUCACAGAAGGCUAGCCUUUGUAUUGUAUCUGCAAAACAAUCCUGGAGGAAUCACUAUAUUUGGUUGGACGGUUGAUCGUGCAUUAAUAAACACAAUCUUCUUCAUUGAACUUACUCUAGUGACUUUUGUGCUUGGAAAGACUAUAGUAUUCACUUCUAAAUGAUUAAUUUCCAGGCCAGAGUUCACACUUAGAAGAAAAUCUUUCAAGGUAUCACUUUUGUCAUCGAUAAGAUCGAGCAAUCUGGCUCUUCAAUAUUGCUCAGAGGUUCCCAUUUCUGGUUAUUUUGAUUGAACACCUUAACCAUUGAAGUGGUGAAUAAGAAGGUUAUCAUAUUGUCUAGCAUUAAAGGGUAAGAGCCAGAGAGAGAGGAAAUCCCUUGUAAAACUUGGAAAAAUACUCAUACCUAUGUACAUGGCGUUUUUAUUUCAUGUUAUUUAGAAGGGAA